GACAGAGGGUGCGAACGUUGCUCGGAAUUACUGGGCGUAAAGCGCGUGUAGGCGGACUAGUAAGUCGGACGUGAAAUCCCUGGGCUCAACCCAGGAACUGCAUCCGAAACUAUUAGUCUGGAGUGGUGGAGAGGAAAGCAGAAUUCCUGGUGUAGAGGUGAAAUUCGUAGAUAUCAGGAGGAACACCGGUGGCGAAGGCGGCUUUCUGGACACUAACUGACGCUGAGACGCGAAAGCGUGGGGAGCAAACAGGAUUAGAUACCCUGGUAGUCCACGCCGUAAACGAUGAGUGCUGGGUGUCGCGGGUUUUGACCCCUGCGGUGCCGUAGCUAACGCGUUAAGCACUCCGCCUGGGGAGUACGGCCGCAAGGCUAAA
Molecule: ribosomal RNA, 376 nt
Filed under: uncultured bacterium
Lineage: Bacteria
Description: bacterial SSU rRNA
Rfam family: Bacterial small subunit ribosomal RNA
Source: RNAcentral